CCUACGGGCGGCAGCAGUGGGGAAUAUUGGACAAUGGGCGAAAGCCUGAUCCAGCCAUGCCGCGUGUGUGAAGAAGGCCUUCGGGUUGUAAAGCACUUUCAGUGGGGAAGAAAGCCUUGGGGCUAAUACCCUCGAGGAAGGACAUCACCCACAGAAGAAGCACCGGCUAACUCCGUGCCAGCAGCCGCGGUAAUACGGAGGGUGCGAGCGUUAAUCGGAAUUACUGGGCGUAAAGCGCGCGUAGGCGGUCUGAUAAGCCGGUUGUGAAAGCCCCGGGCUCAACCUGGGAACGGCAUCCGGAACUGUCAGGCUAGAGUGCAGGAGAGGAAGGUAGAAUUCCCGGUGUAGCGGUGAAAUGCGUAGAGAUCGGGAGGAAUACCAGUGGCGAAGGCGGCCUUCUGGACUGACACUGACGCUGAGGUGCGAAAGCGUGGGUAGCAAACAGGAUUAGAUACCCGAGUAGG
This 464-nucleotide ribosomal RNA is filed under the name Vreelandella stevensii. RNAcentral describes it as "partial 16S ribosomal RNA". It matches the Rfam family "Bacterial small subunit ribosomal RNA", at positions 338 to 794 of the family's 1533-position model. Lineage: Bacteria; Pseudomonadati; Pseudomonadota; Gammaproteobacteria; Oceanospirillales; Halomonadaceae. The record is from RNAcentral.